GACGAACGCUGGCGGCGUGCUUAACACAUGCAAGUCGAACGGUAAGGCUCCAGCUUGCUGGGGUACACGAGUGGCGAACGGGUGAGUAACACGUUGGUGACCUGCCCUGCACUUCGGGAUAAGCCUGGGAAACUGGGUCUAAUACCGGAUAGGACCGCACCGUGAGGGUGUGGUGGAAAGUUUUUUCGGUGUGGGAUGGGCCCGCGGCCUAUCAGCUUGUUGGUGGGGUAAUGGCCUACCAAGGCGGCGACGGGUAGCCGGCCUGAGGGGGUGGACGGCCCAAUGGGGACGGGGACACGGCCCAGCCCCCUAGGGGGGGCAGGAGGGGGGAAUAUGGCCAAAGGGGCGGAGGCCUGUUGCAGGGGCGCCGGGUGGGGGAUGACGGCUUUGGGGUUGUAAACCCCUUCCCCCACCGACGAGGGGUUUCGGACGGGAGAUGGGAAAGAAGCACCGGCUAACCACGG
This 464-nucleotide ribosomal RNA is filed under the name uncultured bacterium. RNAcentral's name for it is "partial 16S ribosomal RNA". It matches the Rfam family "Bacterial small subunit ribosomal RNA", at positions 28 to 506 of the family's 1533-position model. The record is from RNAcentral.